GAUUUCGUGCGACCAAAAGUGUCAAAGUGAUGAAAUUCAAACAAUCGCGGAUAAACGGCAGGAGUAACUACGACUCUCUUAAGGUAGCCAAAUGCCUCGUCAUCUAGGUAGUGACGCGCAUGAAUGGAU
Molecule: non-coding RNA, 129 nt
Filed under: Symbiodinium microadriaticum
Lineage: Eukaryota; Dinophyceae; Suessiales; Symbiodiniaceae
Description: Eukaryotic large subunit ribosomal RNA
Rfam family: Eukaryotic large subunit ribosomal RNA
Source: Rfam by way of RNAcentral